Lolium perenne is the source of this 845-nucleotide non-coding RNA. The record is from RefSeq and is a predicted model, not a curated record. Lineage: Eukaryota; Viridiplantae; Streptophyta; Magnoliopsida; Poales; Poaceae.
GUGUACGCUAUUAUGCAGAAUGAAGAAGCGGGAAAUGCGAAUAAGGAACAUCCAUGAUGUUGGGUUCAUUGACCCACAAAUCGUUAAUUCAUAUGUGUUAGAACACCACCCCGCCGACGUGGAGGAUGACCUGUGGCGGUUUAUUAGAAAACAGGAACUCAAAAGUGAUAUUCUAUUUCCUUACCAUUUUGGGUGAGUGUUUCUGUCUUGAGCACAUUCUCUUUUGUUUACUCCAUGCAUGGUAUGUGGCUAAUCGAUGAGUUAUGCAUGACUGUGCAUGUAUCGUGUCCGCAGGUUCCACUGGAUUCUUAUGGUAAUUCAAUUUCACACCUCCUCAGUUCUCGUCCACGACUCUCUGAAUAUGGAUCCGGCGCUUUGGGCCGACAUGAGAAAAAUGAUGCAAAAGGUUUGGAGACGGUUCGUAGAUACCAAGGUCGGUGAAUUCAAAAAAGAGCUACAUUUUAAAAUGGCAGUGCGGACGACUGGGGAUAUUCAGCCACCGGGGACCAAUCUAUGUGGAUACUAUGUUUGUGAGAGGAUCCGAAGAUACUGCAAUGAGCGGGACCACAAGUGUGAGAACAACAUCAUGAGGAAUAACCUCCGGAAGACGCUUAGUCCAGAAGCUCGCUUCCGACCACUUCAAGAGGAACUAGCUGGAUGGUUGGCGAGGGAAGUCAUCGAUCCUAGAGGAGAACACCAUUACGAUGACGUAGAACUUCAUAUGCACUAAAUUAUGGAUGGAAACUUGUUCAAAAUUGUAUAUGGUCAUCCGAUAUUGAAUAUAUAUUGUAUAUUCCUCUUGAAUUCUUUUUGGUUCUAAUUUCAAAUUUGUUUGAAAUUGUAAA